UACCGGAACACAUCUUACUUGUGUAAAAUCCAGAUAUAUAGCAAAGGAAAACACUUUCUAAACAAAACUGCCAAAAUUUUGUUUUAUUUAAUCUGGUGUAUUUCAGUACUAGCAGAUAAAAGCACUUGCCACAAUUUCCAACAAAAGAAUCAUUACUUCGUGUUUCCCGCCAGACCGGUCUGACUCCGAGUCCGGAACGGAAAUCUCAACAUUCUCAACCCAACAGUCAACAGGCAGCAAUGAACGCGAGAAGGCGGAAGGCUCAGUGAUUUCGGUGUUUCGAAUCAGAAUUUGGCGCCGCUGGUUACAUAAAUUUCCGCGUAGAACGCAUUUACGAAAUUCCAAACCAACAAUAUCACCUAUGUCAUGAGAACAUCACUGCAACACUUUCCACGUAGACGGUUUGCUACGAUGGUUUCUGGAGACACGGCUGAUCUUAAAAACAUCUUGACCAGUUUGAAUGUCCUGAGGAAUUCCCGAAGAGAGGGCACAUUGCCGCGACUGUUAGCUGCAACCAUCAAGGUGAUGAACAUUAGUAACAGG
This is a long non-coding RNA of Macrobrachium nipponense, 543 nucleotides long. RefSeq lists it as uncharacterized. The record is from RefSeq and is a predicted model, not a curated record. The transcript has 3 exons. Lineage: Eukaryota; Metazoa; Arthropoda; Malacostraca; Decapoda; Palaemonidae.